UUGCAGGCUGGUAAGUUUUGGCCUCCCAAGUUGUUGAGGGCAGAUCUCACUGUAGCUUGGUGGAUCUUUCUGGCCCGUGGAGCCACCACAGUUCAGCCAGGAGAGGGGAUACAUGCUCUGCUGCGGAUGGUGGGGUUUCUGGGGCAGCUGUGACUCUUGGAUGCUCUCUUUCUUUCUCCUGUUAUCUCUACAGAUGAAAACCAGCGUGUCCACUGGUGAGACGAACUGUUCCGUGAGCCGGGGCCAGGAAAAGGCAGCAAACAAAAUGAACAGUCAGCCGAGUAGCGUUUGCUGGAGAUUUACGUGGAAACCUGCUCACAGAUGCAGGGCUGCUGGAUUUAUAACAAGGGUAAAAGAGGAAAAUGCCUUUGUGUUUACACAUGAGCCAGAGGGAAAGGGGAGCAGUGCAUCUUAAGGUAUGAUAUGCAGAAGUGACCCCAAAACUCCCCAGGGGAAAGACCAAAUCCCUGAUCAGGACUCUUCCAGUCACAAGUGACAGAAAUCUAACUCAUUUCUCUUGAGAUUGAAUUGGGCUAUGUGAGAAAGCAUCUCACUUUAUUUAUUUUAUUUUAUUAUUUUUUAAAAUUUUUAUUUAUUUAUGAUAGCCACACAGAGAGAGAGAGAGAGAGGCAGAGACAUAGGCAGAGGGAGAAGCAGGCUCCAUGCACUGGGAGCCCGAUGUGGGAUUCGAUCCCGGGUCUCCAGGAUCGCGCCCUGGGCCGAAGGCAGGUGCCAAACCACUGCGCCACCCAGGGAUCCCAGCAUCUCACUUUAGACAGGUGUCUUGAAACCAAUUUUCUGUUUUUCCAGUACAACAAUUCUGUAGUUAGAAGGUCACCAGUAUUGCUUUAGCAGCUCACCAAAAUCAGGUCUGGUACCUUUGUGAUUCAUUUUUAUGUUCUUUUUUGAGAACCCAGUGUCUCAAAAGAGCUGCCGUGGUGCCAGUCAUCAUACCUGCAUUCUAGUAAGGAAGGUGGAAAGUGGUGGAAAGCGAUAUGGUCUGCCUUCUCAAUUGUUAUGUUCUCCUUAAAGGCUUCCACUGUGUCACAUGACCACAUCUAGCUGCCAGGGAGAUGGACAGAGCAUUUAGGGGUGGAACGUUGCCCCCCUGCACAAGAUUUUUCAGUCAAGGGAGGAGGAGUGACUGGACAUUAGAAGUGCACUGAACAAUCUUGCACAGCAGAUUAGGCAAAAUCCAGGAGACAGUGGCUUCAGGAGAAAGACAAAAAUAAGUGGCUUCAAGAAAGAAGAGUUAGCUUUUGCUGAAUAACAAGCCACUACAAAACUCAGUGUUUUUUUUUUUAACUCAGUGUUUUUUAAAGCUUAAGUUUAAACAAACAUCUAUUUGCUUAUGAAUCUGUGGAUUGGCAACUCCUGUGGGAGACUCACCUAUGCUCCAUGCGGCAUUCUCUAGGCUUAGUGUUGCAUCCAUGACCUUAGCCAGAUGGCUGGGACAGCUGGGUUCUUCUUUCUACACAGUCUCUUGUUCUACUGUCACCUUCUUUAUAUGGUAGCAGGACCCAGGGACCUACAAGUUAUUUAUUGUAGAACAACAAAUCACUCCAAGACUUGGUGAAAUAAAC
RNAcentral lists this long non-coding RNA (1583 nucleotides) under Vulpes vulpes (red fox). RNAcentral describes it as "lncRNA (ENSVVUG00000016913.1)". Lineage: Eukaryota; Metazoa; Chordata; Mammalia; Carnivora; Canidae. The record is from RNAcentral.